AGUCGAACGAGGUGCUUGCCACCCUAGUGGCGAACGGGUGAGUAACACGUAGGUAACCUGCCCUUUAGUUUGGGAUACCCAGAGGAAACUUUGGCUAAUACCGGAUAUGAAUUCGAGAGGCAUCUCUUGAAUUUGAAAGGAGCGUUUGCUCCGCUUUAGGAUGGACCUGCGGCGCAUUAGCUAGUUGGUGAGAUAACAGCCCACCAAGGCGAGGAUGCGUAUCCGAUCUGAGAGGAUGACCGGACACAUUGGAACUGAGACACGGUCCAAACUCCUACGGGAGGCAGCAGUAAGGAGUUUUCGGCAAUGGGGGAAACCCUGACCGAGCAACGCCGCGUGAGUGAUGACGGCCCUAUGGGUUGUAAAGCUCUGUUGUAAGGGACGAAUGACGAGGUUAGGAAAUGAGCUUCGUUUGACGGUACCUUACCAGAAAGCCACGGCUAACUACGUGCCAGCAGCCGCGGUAAUACGUAGGUGGCAAGCGUUAUCCGGAAUUAUUGGGCGUAAAGAGUGAGCAGGCGGCAGUUUAAGUCUGAGGUUAAAGCGUGGGGCUCAACCCCAUAAAGCCUUGGAAACUGAACAGCUAGAGUACGAGAGAAGUAAGCGGAAUUCCAUGUGUAGCGGUGAAAUGCGUAGAUAUAUGGAGGAACACCAGUGGCGAAGGCGGCUUACUAACUCGAAACUGACGCUCAGUCACGAAAGCGUGGGUAGCAAAUAGGAUUAGAUACCCUAGUAGUCCACGCUGUAAACGAUGAUAACUAAAUAUUGCCGCGAGGCAGUGUUGAAGCUAACGCAUUAAGUUAUCCGCCUGGGGAGUACGGUCGCAAGACUGAAACUUAAAGGAAUUGACGGGGGCCCGCACAAGCAGUGGAGCAUGUGGUUUAAUUCGACGCAACGCGAAGAACCUUACCAAGAUUUGACAUGGAGGCUAGAUAUGCUGUAAUGGCAAAAAAGUGUGCCUUCACAGGUGGUGCAUGGUUGUCGUCAGCUCGUGUCGUGAGAUGUUGGGUUAAGUCCCGCAACGAGCGCAACCCCUCUCCUUAGUUGCUAAUUAUAGAACUCUAAGGAUACUGCCGAUGUAAGUCGGAGGAAGGUGGGGAUGACGUCAAAUCAUCAUGCCCUUUAUAUCUUGGGCGACACACGUGCUACAAUGGCCGGUACAAAGAGCUGCAACACCGCGAGGUGAAGCGAAUCUCGGAAAGCCGGUCUCAGUUCGGAUUGAAGUCUGCAACUCGACUUCAUGAGCUGGAAUUGCUAGUAAUCGCAGAUCAGCCAUGCUGCGGUGAAUACGUUCCCGGGCCUUGUACACACCGCCCGUCAAACCAUGAGAGCUGGUAAUACUCGAAGU
This 1348-nucleotide ribosomal RNA is filed under the name uncultured bacterium. RNAcentral's name for it is "bacterial SSU rRNA". It matches the Rfam family "Bacterial small subunit ribosomal RNA", at positions 60 to 1427 of the family's 1533-position model. The record is from RNAcentral.